Non-coding RNA from Panthera uncia (snow leopard), 521 nucleotides. NCBI's taxonomy places the organism in Eukaryota, Metazoa, Chordata, Mammalia, Carnivora, Felidae. The record is from the annotation of a RefSeq genome assembly.
UUCUCUGAACUCCCAUCUCUCCACCCAGAGUCAGAGUCUAGAAGACACAGACGCCCCAUUCCUGUUGUGGCCCUGCCAUGGGUCCCCGGCUGCUCUACUGUAUGGCCUUUUGUCUCCUUGGGGCAGGUCACACGGGUGCCAGGGUCAUCCAGAGCCCAAGAUACCAGGUUACCGGGAUCGGAAAACAAGCGUCUCUGAGCUGUUCUCAGAAUCUGAAUCAUGAUGCCAUGUACUGGUACCAACAGAAGCCGAACCAAGCCCCAAAGCUGCUGCUCUACUACUAUGAUUCAAACCUUUACACCGAAAAAGACACCUCUGAUAACUUCAAAGCCAGCCGAACUAACUCUUCUUUCUGUUCCCUUGACAUCCUCUUGGCUGGCUUCGAGGACACAGCAGUGUAUCUCUGUGCCAGCAGCAAAGACACAGAGCUAGGAUCCAAGAUCCUUCGACAGACCACCCUCCCACCCUACAGCAAUGGUAGGAUGUGGGUUUAUGGCUGUCGCCAUCUCAUCUCUACAUAG